AGACGAGCGAUAUUCCUCCCCAGCCCGCUCUCGGCUAUUCCCCUCUGGAGGUUUUCACCUUCACACCUCAAGGGCCGCGGUAUCAGCCGGCCCUUUUUC
RNAcentral lists this small RNA (99 nucleotides) under Rhizobium sp. BK347. RNAcentral's name for it is "ar15". It matches the Rfam family "Alphaproteobacterial ar15". The record is from RNAcentral. RNAcentral also lists the same sequence under 3 other names. Lineage: Bacteria; Pseudomonadati; Pseudomonadota; Alphaproteobacteria; Hyphomicrobiales; Rhizobiaceae.